CUCCUCUCAAAGUACCCCCCAGCCUGAAGGGCAGAGGGCAGCACAUCCUCGGGAUGCCGCCUUCCAGCGCGAAGUGGUGCAGGUUGAUUAAUGGCAGCGCAAAAUGAGGCCCGGGACUGUUUCAGCCCCGGGUGUGGCAGAGCUAACACUGCCUGUAUUUAUGAGAAAGAGGAAGGUGAGAGCUGCUAUGGAACGGAAGCUCUUGGAAAAGUCUCAGUUGGGAUUUUCCUAAAGGAAUUUUCUUUCUCAGUGCAUAGCUAACAAAUAGCAAUGAAAACUCAGCUCUACAGUUCUUCCAUUACUCAGAGCAUGUGGACAAGUGGUCCUUUGAUGUAUUUGCACGAAAUGACACCCGUGGGGAUCACGUGCUGAAAUUCAUUUUCUAUGAACUUUAUACCAGUUGUGAUGUGAUCAACUGUUUCAAGGUCCCCACUUCUGCCCUCGUGUCCAUUGUGGAAACUCUGGAGGUUGGCUACAGGCAACACAAAAAUCCUUGUCACAACUUAAUGCAUGCGGCAGAUGUGACAUGGCUGGUCCAUGACCUCCCUUUCAAGACAGGUGUAGUGGUAAGUACAGGAGACAGCUAAAGCCAGACAACACUGACAGGAAUGGAUUGAAGGCUUAAACAAAAAGAAAUAUUGAGCACACAGUACAUUCCCAGAGUGGUUGUCAAGACCAAUGACAGAAAUAUCUUUGAAGCGGGACUAGAGAAAUUGAAGGCAGACAGAUUCCAGGGUGAUGAUCAGCCAUUGCAGUUUGAAUUAAGCUGGUAGCGCAGAAAGUUUCUGGCCCACUCAGUGGGGAGAAUAAAUGGUAGGGAAGGCUCAACGUGUACAGUAUACAUAUGUAUCUUACUCUCAUUCCCUUACUCCUGGUUACUGCUGCAGACAAAAAAGGGAACAAAAGGACUUUUUGUUUGAUCCCGUGUGGCAGCUCUUUUCCACCUGUUGUUCGUUUCACCUUUUCGCAGCAUCUAAUUUGCCCUUAGCCCUUGGAUUGGCAGAAGUGUAGAGGCAAAGGUAUCAGUGAAAGGGAAGUUCAUCUGUUUAACGUUUUGUGCCAUUCUGUCUUGUUAAACUAUGGCCAUUCACUGGUUGCUGUCUUUGUGGCUGGUACUUGAAUACAUGCAAUUCUGUUAUAUUGUGCUUCAUUUCACUGAGUUUCCUUCACUGACAAUUGUGCAGAAGCAGCCAAGGUAAGCGCUUCCAAGUGCAGGGAGUCUUUGCAGUGCAGAGCAUGUGUGUGAACCCAGAAUGGCAGACGUUGAGGCUCU
Molecule: long non-coding RNA, 1273 nt
Organism: Chroicocephalus ridibundus (black-headed gull)
Lineage: Eukaryota; Metazoa; Chordata; Aves; Charadriiformes; Laridae
Exons: 4
Source: RefSeq, a predicted model, not a curated record